UACGUAGGUGGCAAGCGUUGUCCGGAAUUAUUGGGCGUAAAGCGCGCGCAGGCGGUCCUUUAAGUCUGAUGUGAAAGCCCACGGCUCAACCGUGGAGGGUCAUUGGAAACUGGGGGACUUGAGUACAGAAGAGGAAAGCGGAAUUCCACGUGUAGCGGUGAAAUGCGUAGAGAUGUGGAGGAACACCAGUGGCGAAGGCGGCUUUCUGGUCUGUAACUGACGCUGAGGUGCGAAAGCGUGGGGAGCAAACAGG
RNAcentral lists this ribosomal RNA (253 nucleotides) under uncultured bacterium. RNAcentral describes it as "partial 16S ribosomal RNA". It matches the Rfam family "Bacterial small subunit ribosomal RNA", at positions 524 to 776 of the family's 1533-position model. The record is from RNAcentral.